This 1385-nucleotide long non-coding RNA is filed under the name Daphnia magna. RNAcentral's name for it is "uncharacterized LOC123471417, transcript variant X2". Lineage: Eukaryota; Metazoa; Arthropoda; Branchiopoda; Diplostraca; Daphniidae. The record is from RNAcentral.
AGUCUUCACCAGUGAACUGAUACUGAUCCGAUUCCGUGUCGUUAAAAAACGGAUUUUUUGAGGGCCGUAGAACGGAUUGGUUUCCGUUCUCUAACGCUAGAGUCGCAUGAAGGCAAUAACGUUAUGCCUACCCUCUAGCGCCUCUAGCUGAUUCAUAAUCGGAUUCGUUUCAGUUAACCGAUUUUUGACAAAGCAGCGCGUUGUUCAAAUCAGUGAGCGGACCCGUUUCCGUUCACAGAUCCGUUUCAGUUUAUUAUCAACUUGUUUUUAUAAUAAGAAGCCGAAACCUUUCCAUUAUUUGAACGGAUUCGUUUCCGUUUCCAUAGCACGUUUUUAGUAAACAAACUGUUUGCUUAUUAGAAUAACGUACGUGCUUAAUGUGAGUGCAAUAUUUUGUUUUCAAUAAUGCCUAUGUCAGAACAAUUAAGGAAAAUGGUUGCUGAAGGGAAAAUCAAAAAAAAAGACCCAGGGCAGAAUCAUGGACUGCAGGAAAGAGAUGGGAUAGAUUAAAAACUGUAAAACAAAAAUUAGAAACCCUUCAUGGAGAAAAUGAGGUGCAAUAUGCAACUAAGGACGAUUCUGGCUCAGCUGUUUCAUUGCAUGAAUCAAGUGUUGUUGGACACGAUGCAUUAGACUUAGGCCAGCCAGCCAAUUCCGCCGUAGCCGCCAACAAAUCGUCAUUGGUAAUAAUCUUGGAAGGCUUCGACGCAGAAGAAGUUGGAAGCAGAUAUGUGGAGGUUAAAGAAGCAUCAAAUGGUGCUGUUAAGACAUGGGAGAUCAAGCAAGUACCAAGUCGCUGGACUGAAGCAGAAUUUAAACAGUUUAUAGAAACUCAAUUUGUAAAUUGAUGCUUUCUUUACUUAUUUAUUUUUUUUUUGCUUUUUUUAAUAUUUGGUACUACCAUACUACCAUACCAGCAUUGCACUAGUGUAAUGCUACUAAAACUGCCAUUCCCUUUUACUCUUUCACUGACACAAACCAGUAUUAAAUUAUGUGUUUUUACCGUUGGCCUGUCGGUUCCCCCGUCGGUGGCUGGAACACUGUGCCGCAACUCGUAAAAUUCUCUAAAAGAAGACGUGUUUUCCAGUGAAAACAUGCGUUGUGGUUUAUUGCAUUUCAAUAUCUUCCAAUUCAGAAAAAUGUGAUAAAGAAAAGUUAAAACGGCUUGUUAAAUUUUUCAACAUUGCAGUCCUAUUAUACGGAUUAAUAUAUUAAGUCUGUAAUUUUAUGUGGAAGUUAAACCCUGAUGUAUGUGUAAUUGUAUGUGUGUCAUUCGGUGGUCGGCGGCUUGGUGGUUGGAAUCAUUAUGAGCGUUAAUAAGUGAAGAAGUGCUUCCGUCCUUCACAUUCGGUGACUGUCAGAUUCAAAUAAACAAGUGACAAGAA